GACGAACGCUGGCGGCGUGCUUAACACAUGCAAGUCGAACGGAAAGGCCCUGCUUGCAGGGUACUCGAGUGGCGAACGGGUGAGUAACACGUGGGUGAUCUGCCCUGCACUUCGGGAUAAGCUUGGGAAACUGGGUCUAAUACCGGAUAGGAGCCAUCUUUAGUGUGGGGGUUGGAAAGUUUUUUCGGUGUAGGAUGAGCUCGCGGCCUAUCAGCUUGUUGGUGGGGUAAUGGCCUACCAAGGCGGCGACGGGUAGCCGGCCUGAGAGGGUGUACGGCCACAUUGGGACUGAGAUACGGCCCAGACUCCUACGGGAGGCAGCAGUGGGGAAUAUUGCACAAUGGGAGCAAGCCUGAUGCAGCGACGCCGCGUGGGGGAUGAAGGCCUUCGGGUUGUAAACUCCUUUCGCUAGGGACGAAGCGUUGUUGUGACGGUACCUAGAUAAGAAGCACCGGCUAACUACGUG
Molecule: ribosomal RNA, 466 nt
Filed under: uncultured bacterium
Lineage: Bacteria
Description: partial 16S ribosomal RNA
Rfam family: Bacterial small subunit ribosomal RNA
Source: RNAcentral